AGCGAACGCUGGCGGCAGGCCUAACACAUGCAAGUCGAACGAACUCUUCGGAGUUAGUUGCGGACGGGUGAGUAACACGUGGGAACGUGCCUUUUGGUUCGGAAUAACUCAGGGAAACUUGUGCUAAUACCGAAUGUGCCCUUCGGGGGAAAGAUUUAUCGCCAUUAGAGCGGCCCGCGUCUGAUUAGCUAGUUGGUGAGGUAACGGCUCACCAAGGCGACGAUCAGUAGCUGGUCUGAGAGGAUGACCAGCCACACUGGGACUGAGACACGGCCCAGACUCCUACGGGAGGCAGCAGUGGGGAAUCUAGCGAAAUGGGCGAAAGCCUGACGCAGCCAUGCCGCGUGAAUGAUGAAGGUCUUAGGAUUGUAAAAUUCUUUCACCGGGGACGAUAAUGACGGUACCCGGAGAAGAAGCCCCGGCUAACUUUGUG
This 433-nucleotide ribosomal RNA is filed under the name uncultured bacterium. RNAcentral's name for it is "partial 16S ribosomal RNA". It matches the Rfam family "Bacterial small subunit ribosomal RNA", at positions 29 to 507 of the family's 1533-position model. The record is from RNAcentral.